RNAcentral lists this ribosomal RNA (101 nucleotides) under Caerostris darwini. Lineage: Eukaryota; Metazoa; Arthropoda; Arachnida; Araneae; Araneidae. The record is from RNAcentral.
GCCGUACCAUGCUGAAUAUACCGGUUCUCAUUAGAUCACCGAAGUCAAGCAUCAUUGGGCGCGGUCAGUUUUUGGGUGGGUGACCACCUGGGAAUCGAGUG